This 465-nucleotide ribosomal RNA is filed under the name Vreelandella stevensii. RNAcentral's name for it is "partial 16S ribosomal RNA". It matches the Rfam family "Bacterial small subunit ribosomal RNA", at positions 338 to 795 of the family's 1533-position model. Lineage: Bacteria; Pseudomonadati; Pseudomonadota; Gammaproteobacteria; Oceanospirillales; Halomonadaceae. The record is from RNAcentral.
CCUACGCGCUGCAGCAGUGGGGAAUAUUGGACAAUGGGCGAAAGCCUGAUCCAGCCAUGCCGCGUGUGUGAAGAAGGCCUUCGGGUUGUAAAGCACUUUCAGUGGGGAAGAAAGCCUUGGGGCUAAUACCCUCGAGGAAGGACAUCACCCACAGAAGAAGCACCGGCUAACUCCGUGCCAGCAGCCGCGGUAAUACGGAGGGUGCGAGCGUUAGUCGGAAUUACUGGGCGUAAAGCGCGCGUAGGCGGUCUGAUAAGCCGGUUGUGAAAGCCCCGGGCUCAACCUGGGAACGGCAUCCGGAACUGUCAGGCUAGAGGGCAGGAGAGGAAGGUAGAAUUCCCGGUGUAGCGGUGAAAUGCGUAGAGAUCGGGAGGAAUACCAGUGGCGAAGGCGGCCUUCUGGACUGACACUGACGCUGAGGUGCGAAAGCGUGGGUAGCAAACAGGAUUAGAUACCCGGGUAGUC